Molecule: ribosomal RNA, 443 nt
Filed under: uncultured bacterium
Lineage: Bacteria
Description: bacterial SSU rRNA
Rfam family: Bacterial small subunit ribosomal RNA
Source: RNAcentral
ACUCCUACGGGAGGCAGCAGGUGGGAAUAUUGCACAAUGGGCAGCAAGCCUGAUGCAGCCAUGCCGCGUGAUGUGAAGAAGGGCCUUCGGGUUGAUAAAGCACUUUCAGUCGUGAGGAAAGGUGGUGUUGUUAAUUAGCAGCAUUCAUUUGACGUUAGCGACAGAAGAAGCACCGGCUAACUCCGUGCCAGCAGCCGCGGUAAUACGGAGGGUGCGAGCGUUAAUCGGAAUUACUGGGCGUAAAGCGCAUGCAGGUGGUUUGUUAAGUCAGAUGUGAAAGCCCGGGGCUCAACCUCGGAAUAGCAUUUGAAACUGGCAAGCUAGAGUACUGGUAGAGGGGGUAGAAUUUCAGGUGUAGCGGUGAAAUGCGUAGAGAUCUGAAGGAAUACCGGUGGCGAACGGGGCCCCCCUGGACAGAUACUGACACUCAGAUGCGAAAGCGU